Molecule: ribosomal RNA, 500 nt
Filed under: uncultured bacterium
Lineage: Bacteria
Description: partial 16S ribosomal RNA
Rfam family: Bacterial small subunit ribosomal RNA
Source: RNAcentral
GACGAACGCUGGCGGCGUGCUUAACACAUGCAAGUCGAACGGGUCUGCCCUGUUUUUUGCGGGGUGGGCCAGUGGCGAACGGGUGAGUAACACGUGAGUAACCUGCCCCUCACUUCUGGAUAACCGCUUGAAAGGGUGGCUAAUACGGGGUGUUCUGGCUGUGCCGCAUGGUGUGGCUGGGAAAGAUUCACUUUUGUGGUGUUUUGGUGGGGGAUGGGCUCGCGGCCUAUCAGCUUGUUGGUGGGGUGAUGGCCUGCCAAGGCUUUGACGGGUAGCCGGCCUGAGAGGGUGGGCGGUCACACUGGGACUGAGAUACGGCCCAGACUCCUGCGGGAGGCAGCAGUGGGGGGUAUUGCACAAUGGGCGGAAGCCUGAUGCAGCGACGUCGCGUGAGGGAUGGAGGCCUUCGGGUUGUGAACCUCUUUCGCCGGUGAAGAAGGUCCUGCUCUUUGUGGUGGGGUUGACGGUAGCCGGGUUAUGAAGCGCCGGCUAACUACGUG